Molecule: non-coding RNA, 62 nt
Organism: Bos taurus (domestic cattle)
Lineage: Eukaryota; Metazoa; Chordata; Mammalia; Artiodactyla; Bovidae
Source: Rfam
GGCACUCAGAUGGUAGAGAACCUGCCUUCAAUGCAGGAAACCCAGGUUUGAUUCCUGGGUCG